CUAAUGGUUUAUGUGUGAAGGGUU
This 24-nucleotide microRNA is filed under the name Ananas comosus (pineapple). Its description in RNAcentral is "microRNA s1466_c080b". The record is from RNAcentral. Lineage: Eukaryota; Viridiplantae; Streptophyta; Magnoliopsida; Poales; Bromeliaceae.